This is a long non-coding RNA of Patella vulgata (common limpet), 984 nucleotides long. RefSeq lists it as uncharacterized. The record is from RefSeq and is a predicted model, not a curated record. NCBI's taxonomy places the organism in Eukaryota, Metazoa, Mollusca, Gastropoda, Patellidae. The transcript has 9 exons.
AUCACAAUGCAUGUUAUUUUGUGGAUUGCGUUGGUCUUGACCACUGUUGUGAAUGUCUCUGGACAAAACAGUGGGUGGCCUUGGGCACGAUAUGGAGGGAUGCGAAAUCCAAGAUGCAUCAGUUGCUCAGAGGUAAAAGAGGCUCAUCUGUGUGAAUCCUGCUGCAAAGGAUCAGCCUGUACUCCAAACCCUUGUAAAAAUAAUGGUACUUGUUUACCAGUUGAUAGCGGUUACAGCUGUAGUUGUACUCCGGGGUAUUUAGGGGAAAACUGUGACGUGAAUGUGUGUCUACCUAACCCGUGUAAAAAUAAUGGCACUUGUUCACCAGUUGAUAACGGUUACAGCUGUAAUUGUGCUACAGGAUAUUUAGGAGAAAACUGUGACGAUUCUGAAGAAGGCACAACACCGGUGAAAGGGGGGAGAGUCUGUAAUGUGACAGAGUGUGACGCUAGCGGGGGAACUUGUGCUCUAAUAAAAUGUAACACCGAUGCUACCAAUUGUGCAGGUAAACGAUGUAAUGAAACUAACAAUGAAGUGUGUAUUGAUGAUGCUUGUGUAGUCAGAAGUGAGAAUUGCGGUCUAAUAGAUGGCAUACUUAUGUUUUGUUCAGAUAUAGUACAAUGUGACGAAGACAAUGAUUGUCGAGGUAACCCAUGUGUUGGUGGAUACUGUGGACGUGUUGCAUGUGGAGAAUCGUUUUGUAGUUUGUUUUAAACAAACUAGUUUAUGUUAUGCUAUAUAUCCACUAGUGUACAGCGAGCAACUAUUAUCAGAUUCAAUAUUUAACAUAAUAAACUAUAUUGUAAUAAUUAGGCACUUAUUUAAUUAAAUGCAGUACUUUCUUUAUAAAAUAUAAUUCUAAGUCAACAAUAUAUUCAUCUAAACCCAAAACUACAAUAAUGUAUGUAUAUUGAUAUGUACUUCUUGAAAACAACUAGAUCCAAACCAUUACAAGAUAUUAAAAUAUAACCUAUAUCGCAAAAU